GACAUUUUGACAUUUUGACAUUUUGACAUUUUGACAUUUUGACAUUUUGACAUUUUGACAUUUUGACAUUUUGACAUUUUGACAUUUUGACAUUUUGACAUUUUGACAUUUUGACAUUUGACAUUUUGACAUUUUGACAUUUUGACAUUUUGACAUUUUGACAUUUUGACAUUUUGACAUUUUGACAUUUUGACAUUUUGACAUUUUGACAUUUUGACAUUUUGACAUUUUGACAUUUUGACAUUUUGACAUUUUUACAUUUUGACAUUUUGACAUUUUGACAUUUUGACAUUUUGACAUUUUGACAUUUUGACAUUUUGACAUUUUGACAUUUUGACAUUUUGACAUUUUGACAUUUUGACAUUUUGACAUUUUGACAUUUUGACAUUUUGACAUUUUGACAUUUUGACAUUUUGACAUUUUGACAUUUUGACAUUUUGACAUUUUGACAUUUUGACAUUUUGACAUUUUGACAUUUUGACAUUUUGACAAUUUGAAAAUUUGACAAAUAAAACAGUGCUUUUUAAAACGUUAAAGAUAAAUGUUAGCUUAAAUUACAAGGAAUAUAAAAUCUAGAGUAAAUGUAGAAAACAAUCUAUGAGUCAUGGGUUUUCUACGCAGAUAGGACCAGAAAUUAUAUAUGGCAAAUCGUAUUUUAGUUUGAUUGUAAAAUUAUGAUAUGUGAAAUGAUGUUCUACAAAAAAAUCGGAGAUCUUCCUCAUCCAUAAAAAAGUUUCUGUUGUUUUUUUAUUAUAGUGUAAUUUGUAUUAAAAUUUUUCAAUUGGUUUUAUAAAACAAUAAAUACCAAAAAUAUAAAAAGAAAUUGAAAUCCUAACAAUAAAACAUAUCUACGUAGUUCAGGAGGUGACCCAUAUCUAAAUAUGGGUGUCGUGGUUUACGUACUGCCCCUUGUCAAAACUUCUCAGAACUCACUAACACUCUCACACGCUCACAGCAGCCGUCGCCAUCACUGACGGCCCGUCAUUUCAGUCGUUGUCCAGUUUUGCUUUUGUGAAUUUUUGAGGCGGUCUUGUGACGACAAAAAUCGAAAAUUUGGGGGGAAAUUUUGUAAAACUCGGUUAAAGAACCAACCAGGUUGCCGGUUCAUUUGCAGUUCCAGAAAAUCUUUUUGGAUUCGGUUCGUGUCGGAACGUGAUGUCGAGCAAUUAUGGGGUAGGCCAUGACGAUGUGGCAAUUUUUGAUCCAAAACGAUUUUCCGGUGAGCAGAAGUCAGAACCGCAGCAGCAACGGGCGAAGAUCAAUCGCAGGCAUGAUCGGAAAAGUGCAUUGCACCGAUUCGAGAAUGAGUGGAAAAAUGAAGUUGUGAAGUUUUAAUUAGAGUUUUAUGAAUAAAAAUGUCAAAAACUAAAAUCAACUGUUUUUCUGGAAAAAAAAGAAUAAGAACAAGAAGUAUAUUUUCAUGGUACACAC
Molecule: long non-coding RNA, 1431 nt
Organism: Culex pipiens pallens (northern house mosquito)
Lineage: Eukaryota; Metazoa; Arthropoda; Insecta; Diptera; Culicidae
Exons: 2
Source: RefSeq, a predicted model, not a curated record